UGCCAGCCGCCGCGGUAAUACGGAGGGUGUGAGCGUUAAUCGGAAUUACUGGGCGUAAAGCGCACGCAGGCGGUUUGUUAAGCUAGAUGUGAAAGCCCCGGGCUCAACCUGGGAUGGUCAUUUAGAACUGGCAGACUAGAGUCUUGGAGAGGGGAGUGGAAUUCCAGGUGUAGCGGUGAAAUGCGUAGAUAUCUGGAGGAACAUCAGUGGCGAAGGCGGCUCCCUGGGCUGUUUCUGACGCUGAGGUGCGAAGGCGUGGGUAGCGAACAGGAUUAGAUA
Molecule: ribosomal RNA, 279 nt
Filed under: uncultured bacterium
Lineage: Bacteria
Description: partial 16S ribosomal RNA
Rfam family: Bacterial small subunit ribosomal RNA
Source: RNAcentral